Long non-coding RNA from Oreochromis niloticus (Nile tilapia), 1158 nucleotides. RefSeq lists it as uncharacterized. The transcript is spliced from 2 exons. Lineage: Eukaryota; Metazoa; Chordata; Actinopteri; Cichliformes; Cichlidae. The record is from RefSeq and is a predicted model, not a curated record.
GGAGAAGGUCCUCCAUCGGAAUGCACUAAAGUUGUGCAUUACCCCUGUAGCAGACCACCACCCAGAGGGGCAGGGAGUCAGCCUUGAGGGAGAGAUGCUAGUUGAGCCUCCAUUUUAUGGUUUCGUGCCCAGCACUCCAGCCCAGCAGCCGAGAGAGUUGUCAGAGGUGCGGCGCUCGACGAGGCCUAAUUUUGGUCAGCCACCCGCCCGUUACAGAUCGCUUGACUAGGGUGACAGGGACUGUCACAGAUAAUCGCGUGCACCUGUGAGGUGGAGGCGUGCCCCCGAGGUGGCCUAUUGGCCGCCAAACUGACUUAAGGGAGAUAGUGAGCGCAAAGACAGGAGAAGAGACACACGGAAAGCGAAGAGCAGGAAACCGAACGUGUGCAGACGAGCGCAUGUAUAAAAGGACCGGCCUGCCUGUGCGGCGUCACGAGACUUCCGGCGAUCGGCCAGCAUAACCCGGCGAUUCAGUUCUGACGGACAGAAUAGCAACAGUGGGAGGCGACGCGUGAAAUCCACAGUAGGGCAGAGGGACGCCUCUGCCUGCAUCCGUGAGUAUCGCUUUCCCACUGUUGGGCGCUAGGCGUGGUUUUGCCGGGGAAGGGUAACAGUGGCUGUGCCGACUACGUUGCUGGCCCGUGUUUGUUGUUUUAGGGCCGGGCUACGAGGGAAGCCGUGUGCGGGCGCGGAGAGUGGUUGGACUGCACGGUCACGCGCCGCCAGGUGGGGAUAGGAGCCUCCUCCCUGGCCUUCUGCUGGCGAGAUUUUCCCAUCCCAGAAGAGGAGCUCCCCUUCUGUCUCUUUCAGCUAAGGAACAUUUGCCCGAGUGUGUGUGGUUGGACACUGGGAAUAGAGGACUCUGGGGGGGACGUUUUAUCGUAUAAAAAGGACAUUCAUUUAGCUUUGAUUUUUUUUAAUUGUAUUUUAAUCUCUGCCGGCAGGGCUUAUUAGCGGGUUGGGAACAUUUAUUUUUAUUGUAUAGUGGGGAUUUUAACUUCUACUUGUGAUUCUGGCUGUUCUUCUAAAAAAAUAAAUGGUGUGUUUAAAGCCGGCCCAGUGUCCGUACUCCGAGCGCUGAUUCACUCUCUCCCCUUAUGCUUGUAUGUAUAUAGACGUGGUGGCGAAGAUUUAGGUCACCAGUUUAGCGGCUACAAA